GCUUGCUCCGGUGGAUUAGUGGCGAACGGGUGAGUAACACGUGAGCAAUCUGCCCUUGACUCUGGGAUAACUGCGGGAAACUGUAGCUAAUACCGGAUACGACACCUUGGGGCAUCCCGAGGUGUGGAAAGAAUUUUGGUCAAGGAUGAGCUCGCGGCCUAUCAGCUAGUUGGUGUGGUAAUGGCUCACCAAGGCGACGACGGGUAGCCGGCCUGAGAGGGUGACCGGCCACACUGGAACUGAGACACGGUCCAGACUCCUACGGGAGGCAGCAGUGGGGAAUAUUGCACAAUGGGCGAAAGCCUGAUGCAGCAACGCCGCGUGAGGGAUGAAGGCCUUCGGGUUGUAAACCUCUUUUAGCAGGGAAGAAGCGAAAGUGACGGUACCUGCAGAAAAAGCACCGGCUAACUACGUGCCAGCAGCCGCGGUAAUACGUAGGGUGCAAGCGUUGUCCGGAAUUAUUGGGCGUAAAGAGCUCGUAGGCGGUUUGUCGCGUCUGCUGUGAAAAUCCAAGGCUCAACCUUGGACCUGCAGUGGGUACGGGCAGACUAGAGUGCGGUAGGGGAGAUGGGAAUUCCUGGUGUAGCCGGUGGAAUGC
This 598-nucleotide ribosomal RNA is filed under the name uncultured Actinomycetes bacterium. RNAcentral describes it as "bacterial SSU rRNA". It matches the Rfam family "Bacterial small subunit ribosomal RNA", at positions 78 to 689 of the family's 1533-position model. Lineage: Bacteria; Bacillati; Actinomycetota; Actinomycetes. The record is from RNAcentral.